GACGAACGCUGGCGGCGUGCUUAACACAUGCAAGUCGAACGGAAAGGCCCCUUUUGGGGUACUCGAGUGGCGAACGGGUGUGUAACACGUGAGUAACCUGCCCUUGACUUCGGGAUAACUUCAGGAAACUGGGGCUAAUACCGGAUAGGAAUCCUUGCUGCAUGGUGGGGGUUGGAAAGCUUCGGCGGUUUUGUAUGGACUCGCGGCUUAUCCGCUUGUUGGUGGGGUAGUGGCUUACCAAGGCUUUUACGGGUAGCCGGACUGGGAGGGCGACCGGCCACAGUGGGAAGGAGAUACGGACAAGAAGCAUAAGGGAGGCAGAAGUGGGGAAGAUUGAAAAAUGGGAGGAAGCCUGAUGCAGCAACGCCGCGUGCGGGAUGACGGGCUUCGGGUUGUAAACCGAUUUCAGAAGGGGAGAAGCUUGUGGUGACGGUACCUGCAGAAGAAGCACCGGCUAACUACGUG
RNAcentral lists this ribosomal RNA (465 nucleotides) under uncultured bacterium. Its description in RNAcentral is "partial 16S ribosomal RNA". It matches the Rfam family "Bacterial small subunit ribosomal RNA", at positions 28 to 507 of the family's 1533-position model. The record is from RNAcentral.